Molecule: ribosomal RNA, 253 nt
Filed under: uncultured bacterium
Lineage: Bacteria
Description: partial 16S ribosomal RNA
Rfam family: Bacterial small subunit ribosomal RNA
Source: RNAcentral
UACGGAGGGUGCAAGCGUUAUCCGGAUUCAUUGGGCGUAAAGGGUGCGUAGGCGGCGGGGUAAGUCUGAUGUGAAAUCCCGGGGCUCAACUCCGGAACUGCAUUGGAUACUGCCUUGCUUGAGAGCUGGAGAGGAAACUGGAAUUUACGGUGUAGCAGUGAAAUGCGUAGAGAUCGUAAGGAAAACCAGUGGCGAAGGCGAGUUUCUGGACAGCUACUGACGCUGAGGCACGAAGGCCAGGGGAGCAAACGGG